GACAGAGGGUGCAAACGUUGCUCGGAAUUACUGGGCGUAAAGCGCGUGUAGGUGGUCUGGUAAGUCGGGUGUGAAAGCCCAGGGCUCAACCCUGGAAGUGCAUUCGAAACUGCCAGGCUGGAGUACUGAAGAGGAGAGCGGAAUUCCCGGUGUAGAGGUGAAAUUCGUAGAUAUCGGGAGGAACACCAGUGGCGAAGGCGGCUCUCUGGGCAGAUACUGACACUGAGACGCGAAAGCGUGGGGAGCAAAC
Molecule: ribosomal RNA, 250 nt
Filed under: uncultured bacterium
Lineage: Bacteria
Description: partial 16S ribosomal RNA
Rfam family: Bacterial small subunit ribosomal RNA
Source: RNAcentral